GAUGAACGCUGGCGGCGUGCCUAAUACAUGCAAGUCGAGCGAACAGACGAGGAGCUUGCUCCUUUGACGUUAGCGGCGGACGGGUGAGUAACACGUAGGUAACCUACCUAUAAGACUGGGAUAACUUCGGGAAACCGGAGCUAAUACCGGAUAAUAUUUCGAACCGCAUGGUUCGAUAGUGAAAGAUGGCUUUGCUAUCACUUAUAGAUGGACCUGCGCCGUAUUAGCUAGUUGGUAAGGUAACGGCUUACCAAGGCAACGAUACGUAGCCGACCUGAGAGGGUGAUCGGCCACACUGGAACUGAGACACGGUCCAGACUCCUACGGGAGGCAGCAGUAGGGAAUCUUCCGCAAUGGGCGAAAGCCUGACGGAGCAACGCCGCGUGAGUGAUGAGGGUCUUCGGAUCGUAAAACUCUGUUAUUAGGGAAGAACAAACGUGUAAGUAACUGUGCACGUCUUGACGGUACCUAAUCAGAAAGCCACGGCUAACUACGUG
RNAcentral lists this ribosomal RNA (497 nucleotides) under uncultured bacterium. Its description in RNAcentral is "partial 16S ribosomal RNA". It matches the Rfam family "Bacterial small subunit ribosomal RNA", at positions 28 to 507 of the family's 1533-position model. The record is from RNAcentral.